RNAcentral lists this long non-coding RNA (776 nucleotides) under Numida meleagris (helmeted guineafowl). RNAcentral describes it as "lncRNA (ENSNMEG00000010445.1)". Lineage: Eukaryota; Metazoa; Chordata; Aves; Galliformes; Numididae. The record is from RNAcentral.
GCAGCCCUUAAAGGACCGUUAGGCGGCCGCUGGGCUCUGCGCAAGCGCGAGCGGCGCGCGCGUGCGUCGGGCGGGAAGCUGAGGGGGGCGAGGCCGCGGGGUGGGCUGCCUGCUCGCGGGCGUGCUGUGGUCGUCCUGCCGCCCUCGUUAGAUCUUCCAUGCUUCCAACUAGAAAAAAAAGCUGUCAGAAAAGGCUUCUUUUAGGCUCUGACCCACCGGCUGUGUCCUCGUGUGGAAUCAUCCCCUGCCUUGCAGCACACGGGGCAGAUAGCGGAGAGUCCAGAGCCUGUUUAAAAUCAAUUCGGUGCGCUACGACGGUCCUGCGAAAUGUAGUCAUUAUAAACGCUUGAGCUGAGAGAAGAAUUGCUCUGACUGGCGCUGCAGAUCACUACAGCAGCAGAAUACCACAGACUCUUAAAUUACUACAGAAGAGAUACCCAUUGUCUGGACAGCUGGGACUGGACUGAUGAUUCCGCUCCACAGCCAGUCAGUCAGUCGCUCACCAGCUCUCAGAUUCCUCGCAGGAGAACUUCUGGCACUCUCCACUGCUGCUUCUGGAAAUAAGAAUUGUUGGUGCUGUCAGUUCAGUGCCUCACUCUGCUCCUUUCCUAACCUUGCCACCAGCUGCUGGUGCCUGAAGUGGCAAAGUCAGCAGACGGACAGUUCAGUGGUACAAGUUGCAGAGACUGCAAAGGAACUCACCUUGGUAUGUAUCACAGGAAAAGUUUUCUUGUCUAAGAGAAAGUUUGAAAAUUAAAGAAGAGUUCUUGUAGAUU